CCUACGGGUGGCAGCAGUGAGGAAUAUUGGUCAAUGGUCGGGAGCCUGAACCAGCCAAGUCGCGUGAGGGAUGAAGGUACUGAGUAUUGUAAACCUCUUUUGUCAGGGAACAAAGGCGGGGACGUGUCCCCGGAUGAGUGUACCUGAAGAAAAAGCAUCGGCUAACUCCGUGCCAGCAGCCGCGGUAAUAAGGAGGAUGCGAGCGUUAUCCGGAUUUAUUGGGUUUAAAGGGUGCGCAGGCGGUCGAUUAAGUCAGCGGUAAAAGCCCGAGGCUCAACCCCUGCGCGCCGUUGAAACUGGCAGUCUCGAGUUGGAGAGAGGUAUGCGGAAUGCGUGGUGUAGCGGUGAAAUGCAUAGAUAGCGCGCAGAACUCCGAUUGCGAAGGCAGCAUGCCGGCGCCACACUGACGCUGAGGCACGAAAGUGUGGGUAUCGAACAGGAUUAGAUACCCGUGUAGUC
Molecule: ribosomal RNA, 459 nt
Filed under: uncultured bacterium
Lineage: Bacteria
Description: partial 16S ribosomal RNA
Rfam family: Bacterial small subunit ribosomal RNA
Source: RNAcentral